Long non-coding RNA from Carassius auratus (goldfish), 766 nucleotides. RefSeq lists it as uncharacterized. The transcript is spliced from 3 exons. The record is from RefSeq and is a predicted model, not a curated record. NCBI's taxonomy places the organism in Eukaryota, Metazoa, Chordata, Actinopteri, Cypriniformes, Cyprinidae.
GAACAGAAGAGGGCGGUAAUGCACCAAUAAGCUGGAUGCCAACCGCCGUUAAAUUGGAAAGAAGACGAAUAUGACAGCUUGCUGUGAGAGACAACGGGACAGAUGAGACACACGUGUGUUUAUCUGCUGCAGAGACACUGAUGAAGGAAUGCUAACAUCAAAGGAUAUGUGUAAGUACACUACAAAAAUAAAUGAAACAUUUUAAAUCUUAAGCUGUAUUUUAUUUUAAUGUAAUUUUAAACAACUAUUACACCUCUUUUCUUAUUCUUGAUUUAUGUGCGUUUGCUGCAGAUCUUUGGUGGUGGAGCAGGACCUGCAAGGAAAGGUGAAAAAAAGGGAAAACCUGAAACAAAAGAAUAAUGUAGUCGUGCUCAUGGGGUGCAGGCACAUGAAAGUUCGGAGCAGACACAGCGGUCAGAUUGUCCUGCACGUGUUCCCCUGCUCUCGCUUCAAGGUUGUGUGGUUCAGAGAGCCGUCAUCAAGGUCUUCCUCAUCCUGUUGCUCAACGACAUCCCCGUUGAGAAGAGUGAGACUGUGAAGUGCAGCGGCAGAACUUUAUCAGCUGUGUUCAGAUGGCAGGAGGAUGUUGGGUUCACCAUCUGUAAAUACAUGAUUGUUAGAACAAUACGUUUGAAUGAAGCUUUGUUUCAUGUGUUGUUGACUUGUACAUGUAUGCAUUUAUUGUGAUGCUAACUUUUAUACAUUGUUUUAAUCAUCUAGACAUGUUUUUUGUUCUCAGUAAAUAAAAUAUAAAUAUUUUAUCCAU